This 253-nucleotide ribosomal RNA is filed under the name uncultured bacterium. Its description in RNAcentral is "partial 16S ribosomal RNA". It matches the Rfam family "Bacterial small subunit ribosomal RNA", at positions 524 to 776 of the family's 1533-position model. The record is from RNAcentral.
UACGAAGGGAGCUAGCGUUGUUCGGAAUCACUGGGCGUAAAGCGCACGUAGGCGGAUGUGUCAGUCAGGGGUGAAAUCCCGGAGCUCAACUUCGGAACUGCCUUUGAUACAGCACAUCUGGAGUCCGGAAGAGGUGGGUGGAACUGCGAGUGUAGAGGUGAAAUUCGUAGAUAUUCGCAAGAACACCAGUGGCGAAGGCGGCUCACUGGCCCGGUACUGACGCUGAGGUGCGAAAGCGUGGGGAGCAAACAGG